ACUAACUUGAUUAAUUCGACAUAAAUUAUAUCAAACGUUGCUAUAACGAAAGAAAUUAUAUCUAAUAUAAAUUAUUAACGUAGAGAAAUAGAUCUUAGAAAACAUUAUUUAAUCAUAGGCAAUAAAUGAAAUCAUAAGGAAAAAUUCUUUAAGGAUUAUCCAAUAAUCCUUAAAUAAUUCUAUAAGGUUAUCCAACUUUUUUCAAUAUCGAACGAGUGACAUCUCAAAAGAAAGACGAAGACAGAAAGGGUGGGAUGUCCGUCAAAUUUCUAUGAUUCGUAAUGCAAAGAGAAAUCGUACGUGGGUCGAAGGUGUCUAAGCUGAAGGGAAGAAGGAAAUCUAAUUAUAGAAGUCGUUGUGCCGCGUGCUGAAGGUGGUAGUAGGGUGUGAGUGCGGGUGCAGAAACGAGAAUCGGUUGCAUUGGGCGGCCAUAAAAUGCAGGCUGCAUCCGCUCGGCGCAGAUGUACUCAGACGGAGGUUCUCCUGUACUACGAGGAGGAGACCGAAAGGAUUUUUCUUCUUUCGUGGCCCUCUGGCCCACCAAAUAUUAAAGGGCAACGAACUCGGAAGGACUACCAGGGAAGAUUCAUAAACUCUUCCUCUUUAUGACAUCAAUGUCAAACAUGUUCACGAUUACUGAACGACUAGAAAAUUCAGUAUAAAUCGUGACAAGGACAUUGACUGUUUAAUUUUCUAAUAAAUUUCAAUUUAAUUCGAUUCACAAAGAGAAAAUGAAAAUUAUGAAUAUUCUCCAUUUUAUAAUAAAAACAUCCUCCGAAGGACACAGUUUAUUGUCUUGUAGUUAGUGAUCUUUUUUAUUGGUUGUCGCGUCUAUUCAUUGAGAAGCCAUGUGGUUAACUGCAGUGUUUCCUGUCUUAAUUACCAUGAUAAAAAAUGAUGGAUGUUAAAGAGAGUUUCGUUCGAAAACAUCGCAGGCAAUCUCAUUUACAAUAUAAUAAUCUAGGUCAAUCGAAGAUGAAGAAUCGACAGAUACAUUUUUUUAGAUCAAAAUCUAAAACCUCGUAAUUUCUUUUCAUUUUUCAGACGACUCAAGCAAUUAACUCUUUCAUUUUCCCUCAUCGUCGUCGUCGAUCUUUACCGAAGUAAACACGAGGCCUCCCUCGAAACAACAGCUGUGGGAUAUCGCACACGAUCGACUCGUGCCGGGCAAGUCGCGAUUAUUAUUGUUUCCUUUUCUUUUCCCUUCCUUUUUUUUUGUUGCUUUCUUCUCUGAAAGUAGCCGAGCGUGUGCCCAUGACGUGGCCAUGUAAGGGCUAGGCGGGGGUGCUGCUCUUGCUAAUUUUAGAUCGACUCCAGGGCUCCAGGAGUCAGCGAUGGAUCGGCAGCUGGUGAUUCGAGUUGGUUCAUAGCCUUGCACGUGGGUCUUUCUACUUCGGAACGUGUCUCACCGUUCACGAACGACGGACAUCUCUCUCCCUCUCUUUCUCCCCCUCCCUAUUUCUUUCUCUCUCUUAUUUUCUUCCCCUCCUAAUGUCGUUUCUCUUGUAGAAACUCGUUGUGUCCAGUAGCUUUGAUCCAGAUGCGUUUAGCAUCCGAUCUCAAGAGACUUCCGUAUCUCGGUGAAGGGUGAUAAUUUUAAAAAUUUCCCUUCCUGAAUCGAACGGAUGUAACUUCGGUUGAGUAUUUCCAAUAUUUACGAUUUACAAAUCCUUCGUUUUAAACGAUAACACACGAAAUAAUAAAUAAUCAAUUAAAUCUAAUGUAAAUAUUGUAAAUUAUGAAUGAUAGAUAAUGUUGUUUUAAUAGAUAGUAAUAUUGAUUUAAGAGAAGGAAGAAAGUCCUCUUAGUGCGCUUAAUGAAGAUCGAUAAAGUCGAAAGAGGAAGAGGAAGGAGAUAGCAAAAGGGUGAAAGAGAUAAAAUUGUAAAGAGGGAUGAAGUGGAAAGAGCUUUUCUUCGUUCGAGCCAAACCAUCGUUGUGAGGAAGAAGUACAGAGAAGGAAGCACCUCAGCGGAUGUGAUGUUUAGGACAUGGCCGUACAAAAAAUGCCUCCCGUAUAAAUAUAGACGAUGGUGGUUGCCAUCGUAAUGGUUGUGGUUGUGAUAGUGCUGCUGGUGGUGGUGACUGCUUACCAAUCGAAAUUUCUCUUUGACCCACAUUCCGAGAUUGAUUAUUUACAAAGGGUCACGGUGUUCCUGUUUUCGUUUCUCUUGGUUGUCUUCUCCUUCAUCUGCAUUGAUUUAUGUGAAAUAUGGAAUAAAAAAAUUAGGGGGAGAGAGAGAGAGAGAGAGAGAGAGAAAGAGAGAGAAAGAGAGAGAAAGAGGGAGAGAGAAAAUUAUUGAAAACAUUGAAAUGUAUUUUAAAGAAAAGAAAAGAAAAAGAGAAAAGAACAAGAAAUGGACGAACUUGUUUGAGUGAGUUCGAUUUCACACCGGUUAGAGAAAAAAGCAUACCAACCGGCUUCUUCUCAAAUUACUUUAGACAAAUCUCUUCUUUGACCCAAAAGCAACCUGCUACUACUACUACUACUACCCGAAGAAAAGCUUAGAAAAUAUGGAAUCCCUUGUAAAAACUCUGAAAACACAUUGAGCCGAGUGUAAGGUGAAAGACGGUGGCUCCCGAAAAGAAAAAAUAAAUGAGACGUAUACGUGUAAUCGACACGUGCUACGUUAACCUCGUUGUAUGUUUUUUCUUUUUUUUUUGUUCUUUUUUUUUUCUUUUUUUUUUUAUGUCUAUUAAAGAAAUAACGUUGAUUCACAAUGUCUUUGAGAAAUGGUCAAUGAAUGAGAAUAAAGAUUAUUAUCAAGUAGGUGAAAGACAUCGUCAAAUCACUUUCUUUCUCGAUUCAUUUCAAUGCACUCGACACGUGGUUAGCGAUUCUGGGGCUCCUGCUGAGAUAAAGACCUCCCAGUGGCUUUCGACCACCAUGUGCAUCGAAAGUCAGUGAAAUCCCUUGAAGAUUUUCGAAUUGUCCUCUCGGUUCGUCGUCUCUAUUACCAAAACCGAAGUGAAGGAUCGGACAAAAAAACAGAAAGACCAACGCACGGAUCGCACCUCCUCGAUGUAUGCAUGUACGUGUACAUGCAUAUAUACAUGCAUAUAUACAUACAUACAUCCAUACAACAUAAUAUAUAGUACAUAUAUAUAUACUCUCGUUAAGAUUCUACAUAGAUAUUCUUUCUAGUCACGUACGCUUUCUUCGUGGGAGAGAUCGAAAGAAAUCUUUUUUUGACUAGUCAAAGAUAACUUCGUACUCAAAAGAGGACCAAAAGAAAAAAAAAAAUACACCAGAAAAAAAGAUCAAUUAGACGACUAAUAAGGGAAUUGUACGGAACUCAAGGAUCGAGUAUUAAAAAAUUACGUUUGAACGAGUUAACGUAAUGAAUCGAGGAAAGGACUCGGCACUAAUGGGUUAAUACGAGCAUGGUCAACGUGAUUGAAAAAGCAAAGUGGUAGGAGAAGGUAUACCCUCUCUUCUUGGGGUAUCACCUGCUCCUAUUGUUUGACCGACCAAAGUGAACCGGCGUCCGGUGCGCAACCGAGUUUAGCCGGGCGCGUGCUCGUCGUGUUGGCUCGUAGAGAAAUCUGACACUCUUACUUUUACGACACUUUGCAUGGUACGUAUACUUUCAAAAUGCAACGUAAAAAUCAUGCCCCAGUUUUGAUGCAGAUGUCCGUAGGUUUAGCAUAUAUAAUUAUUGUUAAAUCCUAUAAGAGACGUCUUUGUUUAAAAAUCAAAUGAUUUAAACAUCAUAGUUUUCAUAUCUAAUAUAUCGUAAAGCCAUUUAGGUUGAAAGAUCAUACCCAAUCGAUGGACAAAUUUAGAAGCUUCGAAAAUAUACGUGACCUAAGGUAAAAAAAAAUUUCUUAUAAUCAUAUGUUUAUCUUAUUCUAUCGGUAUACUUUGAAGUGAAUGAAACUUACGUCGACAGGAUAAUGAGCUGGAUAAUCGAAAUUUACAGCGAUAUAAAAUAAUACACUAACUGUCACCUGUGGUUCAGGAUAUGACUCUGUAGGUACGCUCCAAACUACUUCAUAUUUGUAAUAAUUUGUAUUAUUUCCGGCAGAAAGACUAAUGAAUUCUACAUUGAACAUCCAAUCUUUUAACUCCUAAAACGUGUAUCAACUAUGUAAGAUAUGUUUCGUUAUACUUUUUGGCUAGAUUUUUAUCAUCAAAUGUACCGGCAAAUUAUUCCAUGCUUGCAUUUCGUUCUUAAUACUGUUUAUAAUAUUGUUGACACUGAUACUACCACAAGUGUGCCAUUCGACACCAAAAGGACUCAGCGAUCUAGUGACGAUAGCAUUUCUUCGUUUUAUUAUAUCAGAACUGUCGUCCUAAAGUAUUGAGUUCCCUUGCAUGAUUAAUUUCAUAAAAAGAAAACACAUAUGCUUUUUAACAAACCAUAUCACUUAUUAUCCUCAUAGCUUUCAUAAUCGCUGUGUUAAUGAACUGGCGAACAAAGUUCUUUAUAUUGAAACGCGAUUCCAAGUCGUAAUCUUCAAUCAAUGAUAGAAAAUUAUAUGUCAUAAUGUUGAUAAUUUUUGUUGAUUAUAAAUCGAUACAAGAUCUUUCGAACUUUAGUACGUUUAUUUUUGGUUCUUUCUCAUAAAUAAUCUUUAACGUCAUUUCUGUGUUAUUAGAAGCAAGACAUGACAAAAAGAAAGAAAAGAAAAAAUAUAAAAUAAGAAAAAAACGACGAUCUCGUAUUUUUGCUUCCAUUAAUUUUUUUUUGUUUCUGCCCACCUCUCUCUCUCUCCCUCUCUCUCUCUCUCUCUAAUUUAUACUACACAAUACAUCCAUAAGGUUAUUAAAAUUUGUAAGAGCUCUUAUAUACGUUUAGGCAAGUUGUUGUCAAUAAUACUAAAAUGCUUAUAAAUUAACAGUCAGUUUUCGAAUGAUUAGAAUGAUCUUGCUGUGCGCGUGCUGACUUCGCGGAUGCCUCUAGAUCUGUUACAGACGUUAGAACUUGAAAUAAACUCCUCAUGAGUUUUUUGAAGAUUUCGACCAUUUCAUCGUCCGUUCGGGUGACCACGAAAAUAUCUAACGAGAUAUAAAAAGAAAGAAAAAGAUUAAACAUUUUGACGAAGAAAGGAACGAUUAUUUUUCUAACGAUUAAUUUACCAGAUCUAUCUUGUCCCAAAUGUUUGCAAUACAUGUUGACAGCUGUUGUUACGUCGUCGUCAUCAUGGAACGGAUCUCCAGGCCAUUGUGCUCUGUGUAAUCGUACAGCUUCCAAAGCUGGACACCAUCGUGCAUUCCUAAGUAGUUCAGCGACUCUGGCCAUGUCCUCGACGGCAUCAACAGCCGGCAAAGGACUAGGACUAGGUGUUGGAGUCGGUGUACCUCGUUCACUUUCCGUACUUUCUUCCAAAGCUCUGCUCAAUGCCGUCUUCAUGUUAGCUAUUUCCGCUGAUAUAUCUUGCAAAGGAAUCUGUACGUUUCUUGCGGCAAUCAUAAGUAGUCCCAACAUUUUGUUCGACGCCUUUAUCAAUAGUAAUAAUUGAAGAUGCAACUUAUAAAGUGUCCUCCCUAGGUCCAAGAGCAUCUCCUCAAAACCAGCUUCCAUCGUUGUACUACCACCUAAUGCAUGAAGUAUUUUCGUUGCUUUUACUGCUUCCAAACACUGUAAUCAAAUUAAAAGUUGAUAAAGUAAAAUUAAAAAUUAAAAAAAGAUAAAUAAACUCAACUCAUUUAGAAAUUAUUUACCUCUGUAGCGUGGUAUUUUCUGUCAGGAAACGUUUCGAGAUGUUGUUGUAUCUCCAACAUUUCGAAACGUAAAGAUUCGUGCAAUCUUUGAUGUGAAAAAAUGGAAAGCGAGAACCAAACUAACGGUGGUUCGGCUUUCGCGCUAAGUAGUUCAGCAUGACUAGAUAAAUGAUAUCCUAAUUGUUUAAAAGCAGGACUGCCAUUGGAUAAUAGAGCGCAUGCUUCCCGAGUGAGACCCACAGAUUUACUGCUUACAUCCUAAUAAUAUCGAAGAUAAAGAACAAAAUGUUCUCUAACAUUGAAACUACGUGUCUAUUUAGAGACGAAUUAACGAUAUAAUUACCCUUAUAAUUCUACUUAAUAAUUGGAAAAAAUCUAGUGUCGUAAAGGGUGCCUGAGUGAUCAGAGCUUGAAUUUGUUGUCGCCAAAUUUCUUCAGCGUCAUCUCUUACGACUUGUCUGAAUGGAAUCAAAGCAGACAGAUUCGGUGAUGCGUUACAAGGUGUCACAUCUCCGAGAUCUCCUGCGCUGGAACCACUGUAGGAAAAUGAAUGAAACAAUUAGAGAAAUAAUUCGUCAGAACUCUUAUUUAGAAACUUACGACGUGUCAGACCUUGUAGAUGAAUCGUGACGUGUUCUACUCGGUAUUGAAAGAGAAGAAGGUGGAAACAUUCCUGGAAUACUGUUUGCUUCUUGUCCUGUUCCAGAUCCACUAGGUACUUCGUCCAAAGGUGAUUCCGAACCAGCUUCAUCGUCAGACGAUUCUUCAGCGACUCCACGCUAAUCGUAAUAAUAUUAUUAUGCUUUGAUACGAUACAACUGACGUAAAUCUUUGAAAUAUUUACUCUAGUAGUGUGCUUGCUCGAUGUUUGUGUUUUUUCACUCAAACUUUCCUCAAACUGUCGUAGACUAGGUUCUCUUUCCUCUCCUUCACUGAGAGGACGACGUCUAACGCCCCAGUUAAAGUUAUCCGUACUUUCACCCUAUAAUGUAUAAUAAAAAUAAGAAAAAAUUCUUCACGAAUAUUGAUAAUCGUUUAAAACAGUUUCAAUUACCUCGACACUUUCACUCUCAUAUUCGAGAAAAUCAAAGUCCUUGAACACUCCAAAUUGUUCGUCAUCCCUUCGAGAACCUCCACUUAAAUCAUUAUUUGCACCAGAAACUUCCUCGGUUGAUGAAGCCAUUGAAGACUGCCUCUCCAUUAAGUCAGAACUUUGACUGAAUAUCACCUACAUUUGAAUACAAUUACAUUUAUUAAAAAGAUUACAAAAAAUUGAAUUUAAAUAUUUGUUAUCUCCUUUAAUAUCUAUUAUCGGCAAAACUAUUCUGCUUAUGUGCACUUUUCGUGUUCAAUCAUUAGUCGAUGUUUGUGUCUAAGCAUCGAUUCAAUUUUGCUAUAUGCAAGUGUCUACAUUUACAUUCAAGCGUGUACGUUUGAUUGACUUAUUUUUUUUUCUCUCUUUUUUUCGUGACAUUCGAACGAUCUGUUUCACUUUUAGGUGCGAAUUGUAUUUAUAAAAACCUUUUACCUUGCUAUAUAAUGUCAUUGAACUAAUGUGUUCAUCCUAAAAAAGGAUAUAAUGGAAAUGAAUUUUCAUGAGGAAUAGCUAUUAUUAACUAUCGAGCUGGUAGGGAGGGAAAAUCAAGUUUUAAAUGCAAAAUAAUAAAAAUGUUAAUACUAACCGAUGGGCUCUUCGGUAAUCCUACCCUUUGUCCGCACGUUGUUAACAAGUUCACUAAACAUUCUCUAACACGACCCUACAGAAUACAAGAUAUUAUUUUACAUAUCUAACAAAUAUAAAAUAAUAUUUAUAACAAACCUGUGACAUCCAAGGCCUUUUCCAUCCAGAAACGGCAGUACUUUCUGCCGGUGAAAGAGACAUUGAACAUCGCGGCGAACCUGAAGACUUUUCUUCGUUACCCUGUCGUAUCAACCAUCUUCUUCCAAUCACAGGUGUUUGAGAAAGAUCAAAUGUGAAAUCCAUUGUCCGGCCUGUUAUAAAAUUAUGGUAACAAUUAUAUCAAUUUAUUGCACGUGUAUAAAUCGUUGUAAGAAGAAAAAGAAAAAAAAAAAAAAGAGAUUGAAAACGCCCGAUGUUUAAAUAUGUAAAUAUAAAUCUAAAAUAAAAAUAUAAAUCUAAAAUAAAAAAUUAAGAAAAUAGACAUUUUAAUAAUAGCGUAAAAAUUAAAUCAAGAAGAAAUUUUCAAAAGGAAAUUUCUAUAGAAAAAUCAUAUUAAGUUUAUUUGACUACUAGCUACACAUUAUGGUUAUUAUUUUUAUCGCAACCUGAGUGUUGAUAAAUAAGUAAUCCGAUCAGUGAGAGCAAAUGCCGCGUUGCAAAAAAAAAAAGAAAUCAAAUUUAUAUUCAUUACGUAUUUACUGCAUGCAAGAAUACGAGUAUAUAAUAAUGUAAGAGUAACCUACCAGGUAACUCUUUCUUAGUAAAUAUUUCUGUAUCCGUAAAGCUUGGAUGUGGUGAUGCCAAAGAUGAUUCCCAUGAUGGUACAUGCAUUGAUGUCGGUGGUGCAACUAAAGUAGAAGAUCUUGUCACGACAAGUUUUAAAAUUUUAAGUGCUUCCUUCCAAUGAGGUCCCUAUUAAAAGAAUCGUAGAUAGAAUUUAGAAGUCAACUUUUCAUUAUUAAAAAAUUUUUUUUUUUAACAAAGAAUAACUUACUUCAACGUAUUUUGAAAUAACUUGCAAGAGUUCAGUGUUGAUCGGUUGAGCUGCUUGCGAUGCGAGAUCAACAUAAUGCAAUAUACAGUGUAUGAUACUGAGUACAGGUAACGCAACGCUUCCUGGACCUUUUUCUAAUACCUCGACCAGAAAGGCUAACAUAUCAAAGCUCAAAUGAGCGUAUGUAUCGUAAAGAUAUUUAACAACACACUUAGUCCAUUGAAAGCUUUCUUUACUAAAUGUACGACGACUGUACAAAGUCAUAACAGUCCCCAAAUUUUCUAAUUUCUUCCCUUUUUCUGCACUUACCUAUAAGCGGAUGCAUAGUGUAAAUUAUGUAACAAUAUUCGAAUAUAUGUAAAGAUAAUGAACAAUUGAAAGAUAAUUACUUGUGCUAUAUUUUCUGCACUUCUUAUACACAACUCAUUUGCAUCUUCAUAAUGUAACAGCAUGUAUGGAAGUAAAGAAACCACAUUCAUUGGAAAUGCUAAACUUUGGGUGGGAUCAACCACUGGUAAAUCCAAUAACGGAGUAAACUGUGAAAGUAAUGUUACAACUGGCUCGUAUGUAUUUGGACUUGUACACCCCUUCAACAUAAGUGCAUGUACUCCAGGAAAAGAGUUCCAUCUUAAUUGUUGUUGUAAUUUUUCAACUUUAUCUCUAGCAUCUGGACGAUCCAACGGUAACCUAUGAAGUACUCGACUUAAUAAUCUCAAAGCGAGAAGAAAUUCAUGUUCAUAGUCCGAUUCCAAAAGUGAAACCGAUAACCAAAACAGCUGUGCUAAAAUUGUCAUCUUAUCAUCUUGGGUCGCAGAAUCGCCUAAUAAUUUCAAAGAUUGUGCUGAUCUUGAUCUCGAAAGAUUAGAAUUCGGAUAUUUGUUACAAACUCCUCUGUUAUCUAAUUCUAUAAAAAAGAAAAAAAAAAGAAAAAAAAAGAAA
This is a long non-coding RNA of Vespa velutina, 9280 nucleotides long. RefSeq lists it as uncharacterized. The transcript is spliced from 2 exons. Lineage: Eukaryota; Metazoa; Arthropoda; Insecta; Hymenoptera; Vespidae. The record is from RefSeq and is a predicted model, not a curated record.